RNAcentral lists this unclassified non-coding RNA (331 nucleotides) under soil metagenome. RNAcentral's name for it is "partial contains 5.8S ribosomal RNA, internal transcribed spacer 2, and large subunit ribosomal RNA". The stretch from base 1 to 120 matches the Rfam family "5.8S ribosomal RNA", at positions 35 to 154 of the family's 154-position model. The record is from RNAcentral.
GAUGAAGAACGCAGCGAAAUGCGAUAAGUAAUGUGAAUUGCAGAAUUCAGUGAAUCAUCGAAUCUUUGAACGCACAUUGCGCCCCCUGGUAUUCCGGGGGGCAUGCCUGUUCGAGCGUCAUUUCACCACUCAAGCCUCGCUUGGUAUUGGGCAACGCGGUCCGCCGCGUGCCUCAAAUCGACCGGCUGGGUCUUCAGUCCCCUAAGCGUUGUGGAAACUAUUCGCUAAAGGGUGUUCGGGAGGCUACGCCGUAAAACAACCCCAUUUCUAAGGUUGACCUCGGAUCAGGUAGGGAUACCCGCUGAACUUAAGCAUAUCAAUAAGCGGAGGA